Molecule: long non-coding RNA, 2646 nt
Organism: Ictalurus punctatus (channel catfish)
Lineage: Eukaryota; Metazoa; Chordata; Actinopteri; Siluriformes; Ictaluridae
Source: Ensembl
CCGGGUUGCAGGGUUUCUACAGUAUUCAUCUUUGAACGUCGUCGUUUAGUUUUCUGGUCCGCGUGUUCUUUUUUUUUUUGUUUGUUUGUUUUGCAUCGCUCGUUUAUUUGUUCAUUUUUGUUUUUUUUUUAAACCUAAUCAAAGUCCCAAAGAGUUAAGGAUUAACCCCCAUAUAAAAAUAAAUAAAUAAAUAAAUCUGAUUGACAUGACCUGGCUUGCAUAAACAGAGAAGUAACGCUGGCGUACCUAAACGUGUCUCCCUUUCUCCACGUGUCCAUUCCCUCCUCUUCCGGUCUUUCACGCUUUCUCCGUCCGAGAGCCGUCCGCGAGCCUCCGAGCUUCCGUCGGCUUCCAGAAGAGUAGGAGGGUCACGGCCGCCGAUCACGCGAUGCGGGGGCGGGGGGUUUGCGUGCACGUUUUAUCGUUGACCGUUCAAACAAAACGGCCUGCGAGCACGAUUCCACAGAACCGCGUAGUCUGAUGGAGAAAUUUAAAAAAUGGACUCUUGGAUUUUUUCGAAUUUUAAAGUUAAGCAAACGCUCGUCUUUAACCUUUUAACACGCGACAGGGUUUUAAAAAUGUCCCAGUUUAACCUCAUGUUCAAACAGAAGCAUGACUCACUUUAUUUAGAUGAAUUAUGUACAGUGCGUUGCGUAAGUAUUCACCCCCUUGAACUUUUUUUUUUUUUUCUUUCUCUUUUUCUCCCCCUCCUCUCCAUGUUUUGUACUGUCACAACCUGGAACUGAAAUGGCUCUUAACUGGGAUUGUGCCGUGAAUCUACGCAAAAUAGCCCGUUAAUAUUGAACUGCAGGGAAUACUUAUACAGUUCAAGUUAUUUACAAAUAAAACAUAAAGGUGAAGCAUCGGCGUGUUGGUUCUGGUUCGGCCGGUCGCCAUCAGGAGUCACAUGUUCAGUCGUCGUGUACAAUAUCUCAGGAUCUCUAGAGUGUUGGAGAACAUGCCUAAACACACAGCAAGAAAUCCAGGAGAACGUUCUGGAAAAGUAUCAAGCAAGAAUAUGACUGCAGCUCUGCCUAGAGAGAAUGUCCACCAAAAGGGGUCAGUAGAGAAGCAACUAAGAGACCAAAGGGAAUGCUGAAGAUGAUGCCGCCGCCACCACCGUGCUUCACAGUAGGGAUGGGACUCGGGGUGACGAGCGAUCUCGUCUUAACGCCAAGGCUGACAAAUUCACUUUUGGUCUCAUCAGACCAGAGAACCUUUUAACCUUCUUCUUCUUCUUCUCGCCACUUUUUUCCCAUCAAGUCCAGCUUUGUGAUCAUCCAAAGAACAACUCCUCCCAUCUGAGCUGUAGAUCUUUCCCGUUACCCUUGGGUCGCUCUUGGCCUGCUCACUGGCUCUCGGUGGACUUGUUUCGGUAGCUCCUCCAUGGCCAGGUCUUCACGAUGCCCCGCGUUUUUAGAAAUGUUCUCUACCAGACUCCGGGUUCUCCCAGGAACAAGGUACAUCGAGAUGAUAAUCCGCGCUUUAUUUACACACGGGUCGCCUAAAUUCUCAACCAAACACGUGACUCCCGACGUUAAACCGUCUGCACCAGGACUAAUUUAGGGGACUGAUACUCGAACGUCGCCUUUUGUGAUAUAAAAUCUAGAUCAUCUUCCCCUCCGCGUGUAUAUUCCGCGCAACUUUGUGUCGAUCCACGGCGUCUCGAUCCCGAUCGAAGUCGAUUUCAGUUCCAGGAUGUAACAGAACACAUCAUUUAAAGGGGAGGGGGGGUGAAUACUUAGGCAUGUCAGGUUAUUCGGUGUGUUCCCACCACACGCAGUUUUAAGUGGGAUUUAGUUGCACUAAUCGUCAGAGAUUUGAACAAACGCAAGCUUCACAGCUGCUGUUAUAAAAGCUGUUCGUAAACGCGAUCGGAAUCACAAACGCUCACGUCAGCAGUCUUGAGCGGAGAGCAACGUUUAUUAGUCGGCUCAUUUGCAUAAUCCGGCACGUGAUCCGUAUAUCAGUGGGAUGUUUAAAGUUGUUUGUUUGUUUGUUUGUUUUUUCCCCCCCGAUGACGAUUACGCAAACGAUAUCUUGCAGGAUUCGUAUUUUCACAGGAGAUUGUUUUAAUAAAUAAAUAAUAAAAUAAAAAGGAAAGGACGGAAAUGAGCGAACUGAUUCGUUGUUUUUGUUUUUUUUUUUGUUGUUUUUUUAACAUUGAUGCGAUAAGUCACCGUCGUGCACCUCCGUUCAUCCUCUAACGACUGCGUGUGUCGUGUUCUGUGGAAACGUACGUUAGUCUGUCGAUCCGUCCCGUGUGUGUGUGCGCGUGUGCGUGUGUGUGUGUGUGUAAACGUUCUGAAAUGAUCUAGAAACUGCGAGAUACCUCAGAAACGCACGUGACGAGAGCAGUGUCUUUGCGUGUCGUCCGUCACGUUUUUUCCCCUCCCAUCCGCCGUGGCGCUCCGUUCUCUCCGUUCUUUACAGUUUCUUCACUUUCUGCAGUUUUUUUUGUGUGUGUCAGAGUCAGUACGAACACAAUAAAAUCAAAGUUUAUUUUAAAGUUACUCCGUGUGGAGUUCUUGGGUGUUGAUGAAUUACGCCGCACGGCGCUUUCCUGAUCUCGCGUACUGAGAUCUAUUUUUCCAGUUUGUUUAAAAAUAACUGAUAAAUUUGUAUUAAACCUGUCAAAUUGUAAAA